RNAcentral lists this ribosomal RNA (253 nucleotides) under uncultured bacterium. RNAcentral's name for it is "partial 16S ribosomal RNA". It matches the Rfam family "Bacterial small subunit ribosomal RNA", at positions 524 to 776 of the family's 1533-position model. The record is from RNAcentral.
UACAGAGGUGGCAAGCGUUGUUCGGAAUUACUGGGCGUAAAGGGCGCGUAGGCGGCUUGGUCAGUCCCGUGUGAAAUCCCUCGGCUCAACUGAGGAACUGCACGGGAAACUGCCUGGCUUGAGUUCGGGAGAGGGAAGCGGAAUUCCGGGUGUGGCGGUGAAAUGCGUAGAUAUCGGGAGGAACACCGGUGGCGAAGGCGGCCUUCUGGUCGGAUACUGACGCUAAAACGCGAAAGCGUGGGGAGCAAACAGG